AGUGAACGCUGGCGGUAUGCCUAACACAUGCAAGUCGAACGGCAGCACAGUAAGAUCUUGCUCUUACGGGUGGCGAGUGGCGGACGGGUGAGGAAUACAUCGGAAUCUACUUUUUCUGGGGGGAUAACGUAGGGAAACUUACGCUAAUACCGCAUACGACCUACGGGUGAAAGCAGGGGAUCUUCGGACUUUGCGCGAUUGAAUGAGCCGAUGUCGGAUUAGCUAGUUGGCGGGGUAAGGGCCCACCAAGGCGACGAUCCGUAGCGGGUCUGAGAGGAUGAUCAGCCACACUGGAACUGAGACACGGUCCAGACUCCUACGGGAGGCAGCAGUGGGGAAUAUUGGACAAUGGGCGAAAGCCUGAUCCAGCAAUACCGCGUGGGUGAUGAAGGCCUUCGGGUUGUAAAGCCCUUUUGUUGGGAAAGAAAAGCAGCAGGUUAAUACCCCGCUGUUCUGACGGUACCCAAAGAAUAAGCACCGGCUAACUUCGUG
RNAcentral lists this ribosomal RNA (492 nucleotides) under uncultured bacterium. Its description in RNAcentral is "partial 16S ribosomal RNA". It matches the Rfam family "Bacterial small subunit ribosomal RNA", at positions 29 to 507 of the family's 1533-position model. The record is from RNAcentral.